Molecule: long non-coding RNA, 2243 nt
Filed under: Homo sapiens (human)
Lineage: Eukaryota; Metazoa; Chordata; Mammalia; Primates; Hominidae
Description: HSALNT0404123
Source: RNAcentral
GCUCAAGUCAGCUCAGCAACUUACUUGACUUGGAGCCACUCUUUUUUGUUUAUUCCUCUUCUUUCCCGUUGCAAACUCCUAAUCUCUCUUGGCAUCAGGACUUGGUCUUUUGCUGUAGGAGCCACACCAAUGGAUACCACUCAACCAAAGUGACCCUGGGACAGAGCCAGUAUAAACACGGUCCCUCGUGAGUCAAGCGUCUGGGAUAAGUGAACAAACACUGGGCUGAAAACCUGGGACUGGCUGGUUGUUUAAGAGCUAUCACCUGCUCCUUCGUUCUCAUUGUAGCCCAGGGCUGGCUGGGUCAGGGGGUGCAUGUCUCAUCCAGAACCACACAGAGGCCAACAUUUUAUCAACGCUCACCAACCAAGAGAUCAACUGGGGAUGUAACAUGUCAGAAGGAAUCCAACCCAUAUUUCACAAGCAGGCGAGAGAGAGUGAAGUGGCUAAUGACCAACAUCUUUAGAGACAACUUGAGUAAUACAGAGCUGAUAAUUUUUUCCUGGGGUGAAAGACCUGCCAACAGCUGCUCUUGGAGAUAUUCCAAGGCUGGCCCAUCAGAGUGCAAAGAGCAAGUCAAGGAAAGAAACUGAGGGUAAUAAAUAUACCUUGGUCUUUUCAGGAUCCUUAUAGAAACAGGUUCACCUGCCAAAACAUGACACCUUCCAAUCUUAUUGUACUUGUCUGUGAUUAGAAGAAGGUCACCAAUUUGAUGCAUUGGCGAACAUGAGAGUAUAUGAUCAAAAGGAGAACAAGUGAGUGGGAUGAGGGUAGCCUUCCUGUCUUGCCCAGGUGGCAACGAUGACCUGCUAGGAAAUAUCUACAAGCUCUGAGAAAUUAGAGCAGAAGAAAUAAAAAUCAAGGGCUUAUGGUGUUUGGUGGACUAAAAAGUUCAAUAAAUGCCCUUUCAAGUCAGAAUGAUCAUUCAUGCCAUCAAUAUUUAUUUAAUUCUUCUUAGUAUUAAAUAAAUUAUUUAAUACUAAGUAUUAGCCAGCAGCAACCUAAGCAUUAGGGAUAAAAUAAGAAGAGAGGGUGUCUUUGCAGUCACUGAGCUAAAAUGUUGCUCUAUGGAUAGGGGCUAAUUGAAGACAUGGCUACCACAAUGGUGUGCAUUUUUUCAAGAGUUUUACCAGGCUUCAAACCUUUUGGUGGAGAGCGUACAAGGUUUAAGAGGAAGACGUCUAAUGCUCAACUACUUGGAUAACUUCAAGUGCAAAGGCCCCAACUUCAGAAAUGUCCCUUUAAGCCUCCUGACCUCUUCAUGGCUAAGGUUCUUAAUUUUGCUAUAUCCAGAGGAAUGGGACCACUUGGUCACUCAUGGGGCAAUGCAGGCUCUCCCAGGUGGGUGCCUGGAGCAGCAGUGACUAUCUAUGACUUCACAUCUCUGCCCUCACUUGGGGCCUGUUGCCUUUGGCCCUUGGUCUAAGCCCUGCCCAUAUAUGUCCUCUGGCUCAAGCUCUGAUGAUCACAUGAGACACUUUUCCUUAGACCCAAAAACAGGAUUGUUGGUCAGCUAGCAGAAUGGGCUGGUGGCCCCCUGGCAAGGAUGCCGGCUGUGACUCAAAGGCACCAGGAUUGGGCAAGGGAAAACCCCUUUAGGGAAACCAAUGAAGGUCCUUGGGGGAAAAGAACGGAGACUUGUGGUGGGGAAUUGGCGACUCUGGACAAAAAUAGACCUGGAAGAAAAGCAAAGGCGUCACUACCAGGAACCAGGUCUGCUGGGAAGUGCUGGGGGAAGGCCAACCAGGAGCGCCUGGUCAGGAAGCCAAGGGCACUGCAGCCUCUGUGCUCUGAAGCCAUUGUAGGCUGGGUAAGAAGGUGUGUGAUUACUGGGACUCUGUGUUCUAUACCCUUUCCCCAAAGAGAACAAGGUAUCUGACAGUCCUACGUGAUCUUCUGAGGAUGGCAGAUCAGAGUAUUGGAAUUUGAGGUCUACCCAGAUAAUCUGGAAGGUGUGGGUAUCCUGUUGGAGAGGAGGUGGUGCUUCUCCCCCACCCCAUGUGAAGGGAUGUCAUUAUAUAUUUUUGUUGUCUCUUUGCUUCUUCUUUUCUCUUAUUUAUUAAUUGCUUGAAAACAUGGGCAGGCAGGAGGAUAUUAGUUUCUCCAUUGAUCUUUGUACUUUAUUUUCCACAUACACCUUAAGAGAAUAAGGAAAAAUCUAUCUAUCACUGUGUAUUUUUGUAAGCUACCGUCCAAAUGUUUUCAUAAGUUUUAGAAAGUUCAUUUCUUGGUAAAAAAAAAAA